Molecule: transfer RNA, 65 nt
Filed under: Intestinibaculum porci
Lineage: Bacteria; Bacillati; Bacillota; Erysipelotrichia; Erysipelotrichales; Erysipelotrichaceae
Rfam family: tRNA
About the family: Transfer RNA (tRNA) molecules are approximately 80 nucleotides in length. Their secondary structure includes four short double-helical elements and three loops (D, anti-codon, and T loops). Further hydrogen bonds mediate the characteristic L-shaped molecular structure. tRNAs have two regions of fundamental functional importance: the anti-codon, which is responsible for specific mRNA codon recognition, and the 3' end, to which the tRNAs corresponding amino acid is attached (by aminoacyl-tRNA synthetases). tRNAs cope with the degeneracy of the genetic code in two manners: having more than one tRNA (with a specific anti-codon) for a particular amino acid; and 'wobble' base-pairing, i.e. permitting non-standard base-pairing at the 3rd anti-codon position.
Source: RNAcentral
UCAUAGCUCAGUAGGUAGAGCAAAGGACUGAAAAUCCUUGUGUCGCUGGUUCGAUUCCGGCUGAG